Molecule: ribosomal RNA, 253 nt
Filed under: uncultured bacterium
Lineage: Bacteria
Description: partial 16S ribosomal RNA
Rfam family: Bacterial small subunit ribosomal RNA
Source: RNAcentral
GACAGAGGAUGCAAGCGUUAUCCGGAAUCACUGGGCGUAAAGCGCGUGUAGGCGGCCCAUUAAGUCUGAUGUGAAAGCCCGGGGCUCACCCCCGGAAGUGCAUUGGAAACUGAUGGACUCGAGUCCCGGAGAGGAGAGUGGAAUUCCUGGUGUAGCGGUGAAAUGCGUAGAUAUAAGGAGGAACACCGGUGGCGAAGGCGGCUCUCUGGACGGUGACUGACGCUGAGACGCGAAAGCGUGGGGAGCAAACAGG